UGGCAGUGAUGACAAUCUUAGGACACCUUUGGAACAACCAUGAUAAAACUUCGUUUCUCUGAGCCAU
This is a small nucleolar RNA of Indicator indicator, 67 nucleotides long. RefSeq annotates it as small nucleolar RNA SNORD58. The transcript has a single exon. The record is from RefSeq and is a predicted model, not a curated record. NCBI's taxonomy places the organism in Eukaryota, Metazoa, Chordata, Aves, Piciformes, Indicatoridae.